Molecule: ribosomal RNA, 45 nt
Filed under: Achyranthes bidentata
Lineage: Eukaryota; Viridiplantae; Streptophyta; Magnoliopsida; Caryophyllales; Amaranthaceae
Description: partial 18S ribosomal RNA
Source: RNAcentral
CGUAACAAGGUUUCCGUAGUANGUGAACACGGGCAUAAUAGCGGA